Molecule: long non-coding RNA, 700 nt
Organism: Trachemys scripta elegans
Lineage: Eukaryota; Metazoa; Chordata; Testudines; Emydidae
Exons: 3
Source: RefSeq, a predicted model, not a curated record
GGGAACAGCUCUCUGUUCCUAUCAGCCUGAACUGCAUUUGCUCCAGCAGCUCGGCUCUGCGGGCUCAUCUGCUGGGCACUUUAGAUAACCCACAUGAUGGAUUUGGCACUUGGGAUGUAUAUUCUGGAGAUGCAGCAUGGAGCGGUGCAGGAAGUGCACAGAGGGAAAUAACAGCGAUAGAAGCUAAUGAUAAAGGGCCUGAUGCAGAAGUGACGAGGGGCUGUGGGCGGUGUGACUCAGGGUGUCCGCCACUAUAACCCCGCGAACCUGGACUCACAUGCCAACUCACACGCCAGGAGAGGCGGGGAGGUGAAUGGGUUGUGUGAGUUGGAGAGAAAGAAAAGAAACUUACAUUGCUCAGUGGAGAUCACUGAUCUGUGAGAAACGGAGGACAACAUCCUGCAGGUCAGGGGAAGCACAGCUGCGAUAACAACAGGUGAAGAUGGGCCGCGAUCUGCUGCACCUGGGAUUCCUCGUCACAGUUUUCCAGCAGCUAGGUCCGUAUGCCGUGCCCAUCACCGUGAUACCUGAUCAACUCACAACCUCCCUGGGAGGCAGCUUAAUAUUAGAGUUGGCUGACAUUUUGAAACAGAAUUUUGUUGCUGUUGUCCGAAAACAGCACUGUCACGUCCUUCUCUACCAGACCUGACCUGGUCACAGAGCUCACUUACCCACCCCAGCUGUGCUCAUCAGCAUAAGA